RNAcentral lists this long non-coding RNA (18085 nucleotides) under Nicotiana tabacum (common tobacco). Its description in RNAcentral is "long non-coding RNA (NTAB_LNC005770)". The record is from RNAcentral. Lineage: Eukaryota; Viridiplantae; Streptophyta; Magnoliopsida; Solanales; Solanaceae.
AAGUUGAAAACAAUUGAUCAAAAGCUGAAAAAGAUCAAAUUGGGCCAAUUCUAUUAGCCCAAAGCUACAAAAAGAAUUUUGGCAGCCCAAUUACCCAUCCCCAAGCCUGGCCCAAUAACCCAACCUCUCUCAUUAAACCUCCCCCUUCCAAAAAAAAAGACCUAGACCUAAUUUCAUUCCCUUACCCUAGAGACCUAAUGAGAUAAAAAAAAGGAGGACCCUAGAGCUUUAGUAAAACGGCGCAUCAACUGCUGCCUUUCUUCUUCUGCCAAACACACUCCAUUACAACUAAAACUUCACUCCGAAAGCCAUGAAAAUCAACCACGAAAUCCACCAAAAAUUAGCUCCAAUUCACCCCAAAUCAUCUCCGAACAACCUAGAAAAUGCAGCUGAAGCAGCUGCAAAAAUAGUCCAUAAACCAGCCAUGUUUCCAUAUCAAAACCCCUGCAAAAAUCAGUUCAAAACAUAAGCUAAAAAUCCACAAAAUCUGCUUAAAAUCAUCUCCAAAAUAACUCCAAAACGAGCUGAAAAACACUCCAUGAAAACAGCUUAAAAAAUGACCAUUGAAACCCAGCUUCCCACCUCAAAAAGACCACCUGAAAAAUAAUUAAAGUUUCGAGUCAAAGUCGAGGGUCUUGGUACAAAUAAAGUCGAGGUCAACGUCAAGCUUUUCGAGUCAUGGUUUUGUUUGGUCUUGUUCGCAUUUUCGGUGUUUGUCGCCGGGUUCUAUUUUCUAUUUGAACAACUUUUAUUGUUGUACCAAGCUUUGGUUUGAAGGCCCUUUAUAAAUACACAGAAAAGUUUUCACAUGGGUUCUUUCUUUUCCAAUCUCAUUUUAUGGUUGAUUUGCUUUGAAUUGUUAUUUAUGUUGUUUGAGCAUUUGGAUGCCUUCACAUUGGUUGAUUCUAUGUUUAUUAGUUACUCUCUUUUGUUAAAUAAUUUUAUUUGAGGCAAAUCUUUACAUUGUUCAUUGAAUUGCAUUGGGCUAUUUAGUAAGCUUGAUCUUAAAAGUUUAUUGGUCUGACAAAAUGAGCCAUGAAGGAGCAAAUACAGAUUCUGGUCGUUGAAUGGAUUUUAAAUAUAAAAUUUGGUCUUAGAUUUAGUAUUGGAAGAUUUGAAUCCUUAAUAAAUAUCUGACUUUAGUUGUUGGGCUGCAGAGUUUUGGUAAAUACUAACCUAUUUAUUCCACUAACUAAUUUACUCUAUUUUAACAACCAUUCCAUAAAUCAUGUCCUUACAAUAAUCUUAAAACUAGUAUAGAUUAUAACUCAUGAACACCGUAGUUUACUUUAGGCGCGAUUAACAAUAAUUAUCGUGGCCAUAUGUACGGUUCCCGUGGCAUGGUCACGAUACAUAAUCCCUAACUCAGGUGUGUAUUUCAUGUGACACGACCAUAACUUUGAACAAUUAUAAAAUAAAUAUUUUGUAGAUCGUGGGUACAAUUCCCGUGACGCGAUUCGCAAUGCGUACAAAAAUAAAGAAGUGUACGCAUCGCGACUUGUUCAAACAAACUCCAUAAAUAAUUAAAAGCGGUUAAAAGUUAAAAAAUACACAAUAAGUCUUAAACAUGUAAUAAAUAAUAUAAGUAGGCCAAUUAUAAGUACUUGCGUGAUUGUGCUAAAAUCACGGAACUCGGGAUGCCUCACACCUUCUCUCGGGUUAAUAGAACUCCUUACCCGGUCUUCUAUGUUCGCAAACCAUAAAUAAGAGUCAAUUUCCUCGAUUUGGGAUUUAAAAUAAACUUGUGACUCGGGACACCAUAAAUUAUCCCAAGUGACGAUUCUGAAAAUAAAUAAAAUAAUCUCAUUGCGAUUAAUGUCACUUAAACUCCCUACCCCCCUCAGGAAAAAGGAGGUGUGACAGCUUUGGCGACUCUGCUGGGGACAUGAACCCAGAAUCUUUGGUUCUGGAUUUAUAAUUUGAGCUUAGAAUAACUGUUAUAGUUGGCUGUUAAAUAUUAUAUGAUUUUUACGUGUUCAAGCCUAAUGUGCUAAAUGUCGCUUUUUACCGCUUUGAUAUUGUUUGAACUGCAUAUAAAUUGUUAUAAAACCCUUCUUCUCUCUAAGUCUUAUAAAUCUUCUAGGAAGUGUACGCUGACGUGACUUCUUUUCUGUUAGUGUCAUACCCUAAUUUAGAACGAGGUUCAGACAAGUUGCAAAGCCGGAUGAUCUUUUGGUUACCGAUACGCUUCUUCCCUCGGCUCGAGCUGUCCACUCAGGUAAGCCACUUCUAGAACAAUACUGUGAUCACCUAACUUUUGACCAUGUUUGAAUUUAUUCCCACUUUUCACACUCACUUCCCACUUCCCCCACUUUCUCCACUUACUACCCACUUCCCCCACUCUCUCCACUCAUGUUCCCCACCUAUAUUCCUCACACUUCCAUCACCUAAUCUCUACUUAUAACACACGACACACACACACAGACACACAAAAGAAGGAAAAAGAAAAAAAAAGUAUUUUUGCUUCUACAAUUUAAAGCUCCACAGAAAAGCUGAAAAAAUCAGUCUUUAAGCUCCAUAGAUCUCCAACCCAUAAGCCUGUUCUUUUGUCCUUUUUUCUCCAUAAAAAAUACAGCUUCUUUUGCUUUGAAUAACAGCUAAAACGUGCUCAAUUUAAGCCUAAAACACCCCGGAAGCUUCUCCACUUUUCAGUCAAUUUUGUGUUUCCGACAAGGUUGUGCAGUUGGAGGUUGGAGGUUGUGGUCGCUGCUCUUAGCUCGAUUAUUGAAUAACAAAAAUUCUAAAGUUUGAAUACAAUCAAUACAAGGUUUAUUUUACUUCUCUGACAAAUUUUUAUAAUGCUACAUACUCCUGUUCCUUUAUUUGGUUGUAGUCAUGUGAAUAUUCUAUCUUUAAAUGUGAUUAUGGUUUGUUUUAUUGACUUAUUAUUAGCUUAUAUGCUUAUAAGAUUUUGUUUAGUUGUUUGUUAAGUUGACAAUUUUUAUAACUUCUGUUUGUUGAAUAUUUCAAAUAUAGGCAUCAUUGGUUAGCGUAAAACUAAUAAAUUUUGUUCAGAUGGUUGAAUAUUGUUUCUGUCACGACCCUAACCCCGAACCCGGUCGUGAUGGCGCCUCUCAUGAAGACGAGGCCAGCCAAACCAAAACAGAACACCUCUUUUAAACAUUUAAAUACCAUAAAUAGUUCUAAAACAUGAUAUAAUAACUAUAAUUUGCGGAAAUAACGAUAACAACGGUUGAAACCAUCCCGACACAGUGGGGUGUCACAAGUCAUGAGCAACUAAUAAAUUCGGAUACCAGUCUACUAGAUACAAAAUCCGAUAUAGAAGUUCAAGAACAUGAUAAUAGUAAGAUAAGGGAGGAACGGGGGCUGCGGACGCCAACAACUACCUCGUAGUCUCCGAAAACAUUGCGUGGACUGGAAGGAUCAACACUCAGGAGCGGACUCUGCGAUGCCUGAAUCUGCACACACGGUGCAGGGAGUAAUGUGAGUACUCCGACCCAGUGAGUAAUGAAUAUAAAUAAUGGCUUAAAGCAAGAAAACACGUAAAAGCACAAAGCAGUUCUAUAUCUAGCAGUAAAAUCACUUAAAGCAGUAAAUCCAUGAAGAAGCCAAAUGAAAUUCCUUUAAACUAAGUAAAACAGGUAAUUUAGCAAGUAAAUAACAAGUAGAAAUCCGCCCCUCGAGCACAGUAACAAUCACUCAGAAUAGUAUCAGCCCCUCGGGCUCACUCUAAGUACAAUAUCAGCCCCUCGGGCUCACUCUCAGUAUAGUAUCAGGCCCUCGGGCUCACUCUUAAAUCAUGAUGGGUACUCGCGCUCACUGUAGGGGUGCAGACUCCAGAGGGGCCCCUUACGACCCAAGCGCUAUAUCAAGCCACCUCGUGGCGUAUACAAGUAUCUCAAGCCCUCGGCCUCAUAUCACUCAGCAUAUCCUCACAUAUGGCCCUCGGCCUCACUCAGUCCGAAAAUCAUCACAAGCCCCUCGGGCAUUAGUAAAAUAGUAGUUCUCAGCCUAAAACAUUAUUUAGAAAUAUCAUUUAAGUUUCAAAUAUGAAUAAAAGUGGCUAAGUUUGUAAAAUAGUAAAUAUCAGCUGGACUGAGUUCAAGUAAUAAGUCAAACAGUAAGGAAUUAGUGAUAAAAAUCCCCGAAGGGUUCAAAUAGUUGGCACGAAGCCCAAAUAUGGCAAUCAGCCCAAACCAUGAUGAUAACAAACAAGUUUCAGUAAUAAACGACUCUACUCUCAUCAUCAAGCGCGUGUCUCACCUCAAUAUAGUACUACGAUGUGCAAUCCGGGGUUUCAAACCCUCAGGACAUCAUUUACAAUCAUUACUCAUCUCGAAUCGGCUACAACUUUAGUUCGCGAUGCCUUUGCCCCUCGAAUCGGCCUCCACGCGCAUCAAAUCUAUCCAAAAUCAGAACGAAUAUAUCACAAUAUGCUAAGGGAACAAAGCCAGAGCGAAAACAAUCAAAAAAUAUCAAAAAUCCUGAAAUUAGCAAAACCCGAGCCUCGGGCCCACUUCUCGAAACUCAGAACUUUUCACAUCAUUAGAUUCCCCGUCUCCCCAUGAGUUCAUACAUAUCAAAAACACAACAAUCGGAGUUCAAUUGACCCCUCAAAUCCUUAAUUUAAGCCCUCUUAAACUCAAGCCCUAAACCUCCAUUUUUAGUCCUUUAAUCUCUUAAGUUUCAGUCCCAAUCCAUGAAAUAUUACCAUAGAAGUGUGUUUUAGGUCCAAAAUCCUUACCUUAUCGAAGUUCUCUUGAAAUCUCUCUUCAAAAUCGCCCAAAAACCCUAAGUCCGAAGUUAAAAUGAAUAAACCCUUCAAAAAUUGCGAAGAAGAAACAUAUAAAUCUUCUGCCCAGACAUAAUCGCAUCUGCGGUCCAAUAGCCGCUUCUGCAGUACCGCUUAUGCGGUCAUUUCUCCGCAUCUGCGGAAUUUCACUUACGAAUCCACAACGCAUCUGCGGUCCACUCGCAUCAUCUGCGACUUCGCAGGUGCGGUCCCUUUUCCACAUCUGCGAUACCAGGCCGCCCUCAAACUUCCGCUUCUGCGACCCAAACAAUGCAUCUGUGAGACCACACCUGCGGUCCCCAAACCGCAGUUACAAAAACACCAAAAGCAGCAGAAACUCUGCAAUCACUCAAGUUCCAAAACUUCCCGUUAGCCAUCCGAAAUCACUCCGAGGCUCCCGGGACCUCAACCAAAAUUACCGACAUGACCCAAUACCUUAUUCGAACUUGUUCCAAUCAUCAAAACACCUCAAACAACAUCAAAUUACCCAAAAUUCAUCGAAUUCAAGCCUAAUUUUUAUAAAUCUUCCAAAAUACGCUUUCGAUCAAAAAUCCAACCAAACCACGUUCGAAUGGCCUGAAAUUUUUCACACACAUCACAAAUGACAUAACGAAGGCACAACAACUCUCGGAAUUCCAUUCCGACACUCGGAUCAAAAUCUCGCCUAUCAACCGAAAAUCGCCAAAAUACUAACUUCGCCAAUUCAAGCCUAAUUCUACACCGGACCUCCAAUACCAAUUCCGAUCAUACUCCUAAGUCAUAAAACACCUCCCGAAGCUAACUGAACCGUUGGAACUCACAUCCGAGCUCUCUUACUCAUAAGUCAACAUCCGGUUGACUUUUCCAACUUAAACCUUCUUAAAAGAGACUAAGUGUCUCAUUUCUUACCAAAUCCACUCCGNNNNNNNNNNNNNNNNNNNNNNNNNGUCUCCCAAGUAGCCUCCUCCAUGUGCCGACCUUUGCAUUGCACUUUCACUGAAACUAUAUCCUUUGACCUCAACUUCCAAACCCGACGACACAAAAUAACUGCUGGCUCUACAUCAUAGGUCAAAUCAUUAUCCAACUAAACCGUGGUGAAGUCUAAAACAUGUGACGAGUCCCCAAUGUACUUUUGGAGUAUAGAAACAUGAAAUACCGGAUGCAUGCUAGACAAGCUGGGUGGUAAGGCAAGCUCAUAAGCCACUUCAACAAUCCUCCGAAGCACCUCAAAAGGCCCAAUGAACCGCGGACUCAACUUUCUUUUCUUCCCAAAUCUCAUGACACCCUUCAUGGGAGAAACCAUCAGCAAGACCUUCUCACCAACCAUUAAGACACAUCUCGAACCUUCCGGUCCGCAUAACUCUUUUGUCGCGACUGCGCUGUACGAAGCCUCUCCUGAAUUACCUUCACUUUUUUCUAAGGCAUCUGAACCAAAUCUAUCCCCAAUAGCCUAGCCUCGCGGGGCUCAACCAACCAAUUGGAGAUCUACACCGCCUCCCAUACAAAGCCUCAAUGGAGCUAUCUGAAUACUCGAUUGGUAGCUGUUACUGUAAGCAAACUCUGAAAGCGGUAGAAACUUAUCCCAUGAACCUCCGAAAUCAAUAACACAAGCACACAACAUGUCCUCCAAUAUCUGAAUAGUACGCUCGGACUCCCCGUUCGUCUGAGGAUGUAAAGCUGUGCUCAACUCCACCUGAGUACCCAACUCUGGCUGAACUGACUUCCAAAACUGGGAAGUAAACUGAGUACCCCGAUCUGAAAUGAUGGAAACUGAAACACCAUGCAGCCGAACAAUCUCCCGAAUGUAUAACUUUGCUAACCGCUCUGAAUAAUAGGUAGUACACACAGGAAUGAAGUGCACGGACUUGGUCAGCCGAUCCACAAUCACCCAAAUAGCAUCAAACUUCUUUAAAGUUCGUAGAAGUCCAAAAACAAAGUCCAUAGUGAUCCUUUCCCACUUCCACUCAGGAAUUACCAUCUGCUUAAGCAAGCCACCCGGUCUUUGAUGCUCAUAUUUUACCUGCUGACAAUUGAGACACCGAGCUACAAAUCCCACAAUAUCUUUCUUCAUUCUCCUUUACCAAUAGUGCUGCCUCAAAUCUUGAUACAUCUUCGCAGCCCCCGGAUAAAUGAAAUACCGUGAGCUAUGGGCUUCCUCCAGAAUCAACUCCUAAAGCCCAUCCACAUUGGGCACACAAAUCCAUAACUGCAUCCUCAACACCCCAUCAUCACCGAUGGCCACAUCUUUAGCAUCAUCAUGCUGCACUCUGAUGCGAUCAUAUAAGGAAGACCGAGAAACCACACACGUCAACACCUGACUGGGCAUCGAGAUAUCCAACCUCACGAACCGAUUGGCCAAGGCCUUAACAUCAACUGCAAGAGGUCUCUCCCCAACUGGAAUAUAUGCCAAACUCCCCAUACUCACUGCCUUUCGGCUCAAAGCAUCGACCACCACAUUGGGCUUUUUCGGAUGGUACAAUACAGUGAUAUCAUAAUCUUUAAGCAACUCCAACCAUCUCCGCUACCUCAAAUUAAGAUCCUUUUGCUUGAGUCAACUUGGUCAAGGACGAUGCGAUAGAUGAGAAUCCCUGAACAAACCGGCAAUAAUAGCCUGCUAGCCCAAGAAAACUACGAAUCUCUGUGGCUAAGGACGGUCUGGGCCAACUCUGACCCACCUCUAUCUUCUUCAAAUCAACCUGAAUACCCUCGCUGGAUACCACGUGCCCCAAGAAAGCCACUGAACUGAGCCAAAACUCACACUUGGAGAAUUUUGCAUAAAGCUUCUCCUCCCUUAAUCUCUGCAACACAACUCUCAAAUGUUCCGCGUGCUCCUCCUAACUACGCGAAUAUACCAGAAUAUCAUCAAUGAAUACAAUAACAAACGAAUCCAGAUAAGGCCGAAAUACACUAUUUAUCAAAUGCAUGAAUGCUACUGGGGCAUUUGUUAGCCCGAAAGACAUCACAAGGAACUCGUAAUGACCAUAUCUGGUCUCGAAAGCAGUCUUAAGAAUAUCUAAAUCCCUGAUCUUCAACUAGUGAUAACCCGAACAGAGAUCAAUCUUGGAGAACAAUCCCGCUCCUAGAAGCUGGUCAAAUAAAUCAUCAAUGCGAGGCAAAGAAUACUUGUUCUUAAUUGUUACUUUGUUCAAUUUCCUAUAAUCAAUGCACAUUCUCAUGGUGCUAUCCUUCUUCUUCACAAACAAAACGGGCGCACCCCAAGGAGACAUACUAGGCCGAAUGAACCCCUUAUCUAGGAGUUCCUAAAGUUGUUCCUUCAACUCUGCUGGUGCCAUACGAUAUGAUGGAAUAGAAAUGGGCUGAGUGCCCGACACCAGGUCAAUACGAAAAUCAAUAUCCCUGUAUGGUGGCAUGCCCGGCAGAUCUGCAAGAAAAACAUCGAGAAAAUACCUCACAACUGGAACAGAAUCAAUGUUAGGAGUCUCAGCUCCCACAUCCCUCACAAAGGCUAAAUAUGAAAGAAAACCCUUCCCAACCAUACGCUGGGCCUUCAAGAAAGAUAUCACUCUACUAGGGACAUAAUCAGUCACACCACGACACUCGAUCCGCGGUACACCCGGCAUAGCCAAAGUGACUGUCUUAGCAUGAUAGUCUUGAAUAGCACGACACGGAGAUAACCAGUCCAUGCCCAAAAUCACAUCAAAAUCCACUAUGCUCAAUAGCAAUAGAUCCACUCGGGUCUCCAGACCGCCAAUAGUCACCACACCACACAUGACCGGUACACAUGGUCUACAACAAUAGUAUCAUCCACCUGGGUAGAUACAUGAACAGGUAAAACAAGAAACUCAUGGGGUGUACCCAUAUAACAAGCAAAGUAUGAUGACACAUAAGAAAAGGUGGAACCGGGAUAAAAUAACACAGAGACAUCUCAGUGGUAGACUGAAACAAUACAUGUAAUGACAGCGUCUGAAGCAAUGGCGUCUGGCCUGCCUGGAAGUACAUAGAAACGGCUCUGACCGCCUCCUGAUCGACCUCCCCCUAUGGGGCGACCCCUGAGGUGCCAGAUACUCUCUCUCUAGUUAGAAAAAUCCAUAGCUGAUAGUUGAGGCCAUCAACGAACCUCCUAAUCCUCGCCCUAUUUGUAGGAACUAGCCAAAUAGCAUGGCAGGCCAACUCGAAGAACCUCAUCUCACAUCACAGACAUGCCCUCUUGACGCAGAUGCUCGAACUCCCUGCGCAGCUCCUCCCUGCGGGAAUGCGAUACAUACUUCUCUAAGAAGAUAAUGGAGAACUAAUGCCAGGUAAGGGGCGGUGCACCAACAUGCCUACGCCUCUCAUAAGCUUCCCACCAAGUAAAGUCAUCUCGAGAAAACUGAAAAGUAGUAAAUGAGACCCCACUAGUCUCCAGAAUACCCGUUGUACGCAACAUCCUCUGAUACUUGUCCAAGAAACCCUGAGCAUCCUCACCCUCUACACCACUGAAAGUAGAAGGCUGGAGUCUACCAAACCUUUCCAAUCGACGCUGCUCAUUGUCAGGCAUAAUUGGAACCACGAAAUCAUGAGCAAGUGUAAUCGACUGAGAUAGUGGUGCCUCCAGUGUCUGGAGUCCAAGAAAACCUGCUCGGGUGUACGGGCGGCGGGAGUCUGAGUGCCUCCCUCGGCCUGAGAAGUAGCCGCUAUCGUUGAAACUGCGACUACAUGAGCAAGACAGGUGUACACAGUCAGAAUUUGAGCCAAAGUCUCCUAGAGACCCGGAAUAACAAUAGGCACAGUCGGUGCCUGAGCUGGUGCUGCUGGAGCAUCCCCCUCUGGAGCCUAAUUAUGAACUGGGGCGCCGGGUAGAUUUGUAAGUGUUACCCUAGCUGUUGUGCAGGCCACACCCUUACCCCUACCACGACCUCGACCGAGUCCUUGACCUCUAGCGGCCCCAAAUGGUGGUACUGGUAGUCGCCCAUCCUGACUGGUAGCACGUGUCCUCACCAUCUGUGAGAGAAUAGAAUAAUAGAAGUUUAGUUACCAGAGUCAAUAGAUUCGCACGACAAGAAUUAAAGAAUGUGAAGUUUUUCCUAAAUGUUCUACAACCUCCCGAGGAUAAGUACAGAUGUCUCUGUACCGAUCCGCGAGACUCGACUAAACCUGCUCAUGACCCAUGAGACCUACGUAACCUAGGCUCUGAUACCAACAGGUCACGACCCAAAAUCUAACCACAUCAUGAUGGCGACUAUCGUGAUACUAGGCCAUCCAAUUAUUACCCAUUCACUCCAUUUUCCAAUUUAAGACUUAAGAAAAAUCAUAUUUUUAAACAGAAAUCCAAUAAGAUAAAAAUAGAACUCAAAUCCAGCGGAAAGAAAUACAUGCUCGACCUCGGAUGUCACUAAGUCAUGUACAACAUACUACAACUGUUUGAAAUAUAUAAGACUACAUAGUCGAAAAAUGUCUAAAUAAAAGUACUAUAAGGAAGAUAAGGGAAGAGAAGGCGGAACUGCAGUCGCCCGAGCAGUUACCUCGCAAUCACCACAGAAAGUUCUCAACUGGCAAGGUCAACAACUGUUACCAUGCCCCGAGAUACCUGGAUCUGCAUACAGGGGUGCAGGGGGUAACGUGAGUACACCAACUCAGUAAGUAACAAGUCUAAACUAUGGACUGAUGGUAGUGACGAACCAAACCUCAAUAGGUAGUAACAUUUAACUGUACAAAAUAGUAUACAUGCUUACAAUUCAGGUAAAUUCUCAGCAGUGAUUAAACACAGUAUGAACAAUACAGAGUAUAAAACUCAGGAUACUAUAAGUACCAAUGCACAGAUAGCAUGAUCUAUGUCACAUAUACUACUUCCACUCACAGUGCUCAACCGCUCGGUACUGUAUAUGGCCCAUUCGGCCCAAAGAAAAUCCAUCCCAGAAUGUAUAUACAUUAUAGACUAUAAGUCAUCUUGUACCGAGGAAACAUGCAAAUCCAGCCUCAUGGAGAAAAUCCAUCUCCAUAUCAAUACUUCGGACAAGAUCCAUGUCUAGGGAAGAUCUAUCCCUCAAUAUUAUCAGUUGCACUCACUGGGGGUGUAAAGACUCUGGAGGGGCUUCUCUGAGCCCAAACGCUAUAUCAACACCAGCGAAGGCAUGAUCAAUAUCUCGCUACGACAUGCAGCCCGAUCCCAUACUGUCAAUCAAUUUCAGGCUCUCAGCCUCACUCAGCCAAUACUCACCAGUCUCACAUACAGGGGCAAAAUGUCGUGAUGCAAGCCCGAACAAUGAUAUGAUAUGUCAAAUAACAAUAAUCAAAACUGAGGCAUGAUAUAAUAUGCAUGAAUAGGACUGAGUAUAGAGUAUAAAUGAAGCUAAUGACAUGACAACAAGAAAUGACCUCUCGGGUCUCAACAGUAUUGGCGUGAAGCCCUAACAUGGUAAUUAGCAUGAUUUGUAGCCCAUUAACUUAAUCACAUAGAUACAACAAAGAUAUUAGCAAGAAAGAGUCACUAAGCGGUGCCAUGGAAUGAUCCAGGCCGCAUCUCUUCGGUGCGUGCUCACACGCCCGUCACUUGGCAUUGUGUCACCUCAAUAGCAAUCAUAGAACACAUAGUUAGGGGUUUCGAACUCUCAGAACCAUGUUUGGAAGUGUUACUUACCUCAAGCCAAGCCAAACUCUAGCCCAUGAUACCUUUUCCUCUCGAUUCGGUCUCCAAAUACCCCGAAUUUAACCAAAAUCAGUACAUAACCAUCAAAAUAUACUAAGGGAAUAAAGUCCACUCGAAAAUAAUCAAAUUACAUCAAAAUCCCGAAAUUGGUCAAAACCCGACCCCUGUGUCCAUGCCUCAGAUUCCAAUAAAAUCACAAAACUAGAAUCCUUACACUCUCACGAGUUUAUGCAUACCAAGAAUGCCAAAAUCCGACCACAAAUGACCCCUCAAAUCCCUUGAUAGAGUUCUCCAAUUUCCAAGCCCUAACUCCCUAAUUUUAGGUUUCAAAUCCCCCAAAUUUCAUGUUUAAUUAGUUAGAAUCACAAUAGGAUCGAGUAUUAAGUCCAUAAAUCUUACCUCCAAGAAGUUCUCUUGAAUUCCCUUUUCAAUCUCCAUCAAGAAGCUCCAAAACCGACCAAAAAAUGGCGAACUAUGGCCAAAACUCGCGAAAAUGGCCUUUUAAACAUUCUGCCCAGUGAUUAAAAGUCCUUCUUCGCGAACGCAGUCAAAGCCUCGCGUUCACGAAGCACAAAAUUGCAUUGACCAAAAAUCCUCUUACGCGAACGCGGAAUCACCCUCGCGAACGCAAUGCUUCAGCCGACCAAACCUUCACGAAUGCGGCUACACCCACGCAAACGCGAAGCACAAAGCUCCUGGAAUCCCAGCUACCCCAAAUACUCUAUGCGAACGCGGGAUACUCAUCGCGUUCGCGAUGAACACUGAAACCAACCCUUCGUGAAUGCGGGACCCACAUCGCGAACGCGAAGGCCAAUCAUCCUACCUUACAACUUAACCCUUUGUGAGUGAGAGAGCCCUCUCGCGAACGCGAAGGCCAAAUGUCUGCAACACCAACAGUAGAAAUCUACAACUUCUCCAACAUGAAUUUGAUUCGUUUAACCACCCAAAACUCACCCGAGGCCCUCGAGACCUCAACCAAAAUGCCAACAUAUCCCAUAUAAUCAUUCAAACUUGUUCCAACCCUUGGAACGCCAAAAACAACAUUAAAACACCAAAUCAUCAUCAGAUUCAAGCCUAAGAACUCCAAAAACUUCCAAAUUCCACUUUCGAUCAAAAGGUCUAUCAAACCUCGUCCGAAUGACCUAAAAUUUUGUACACACAUCACAAAUGACAUAACGGACCUACUCCAACUUCCGGAAUUCCAUUCCGACCCUUAUAGAAAAAUCUCACCUAUCAACUGGAAAAUGCCAAAAUUCCAAUUUUGCCAAUUCAAGCCUAAAUCUACUCCGGACCUCCAAAACACAUUCCGAUCACGCUCCUAAGUCCCGAAUCACCUCCCGAAGCUAUCUGAACCAUCAGAAUUCUUAUCCGAGCCCUUUUUCACAUAAGUCAAUAUUUGGUUGACUUUUCUCACCUAAGCUUAUUCAAAAGAGACUAAGUGUCUCAUUCCUUUCUAAAACCUCUCCGAACCCGAACCAUCCAACCCAAUAACACAUAAUACAGUUGAACAACACAAUAAGAAGCAGAAAUGGAGGGAACAGAGCGGUAACUCAUGAAACGGACAAGUGUAAAAUGAUAAAACAGACUCGCUUGAACUCUCGGAAUGCACCAAACAACAUUAAAACUAAGAAUCACACCCCAAACCAAUUGAAUCAAAAAUAUGAACUUUAAGUUCUUCAAUUUACUCUCAGUGUGCCAAAACAUACUUAAACUACUCGGAAUGACACCAAAUUUUGUGUGCAAGUCAUAAAUGACAUUACGGAACUAUUCCCAGUCUUGGAUUCGAACAUACGUCCAAGUCCGAAAUCAUCAUACGAACUUAUUGGAACAGUUAAAUCCUGAUUUCGAGGUUGUUUACUCAAAAUGUUGACCGAAUUCAAACUUAGCCUUUUAAGGCCAACUAAGGAACUAAGUAUUUCGAUUUUAACCCGAACCCUUCAAAAUCCCAAACUAACCGUCCUAGCAAGUCAUAAAACAAUAAAAGCAUGUACAAGAAGUCUUAUUUAGGGGAACGAGGUUCUAAAAAUUAGAAUGAUCGGUCGGGUCGUUACAUUCUCCACCUCUUAAAGAAACGUUCGUCCUCGAACGGGUUUAGAAUCAUACUUGGAGUGCUGAAUAAGUGUGGAUGUUUGCUCCGCAUGUCCUCCUCGGACUCCCAGGUCGCCUCCUCGAUUGGUUAGCCCCUUCACUGAACCUUUACCGCAAAAAUCCUCAUGGAUAUCAACUGGCGAACCUGCCUACCAUUAAUGGCAACUGGCUCAUCCUCAUAACCCAGGCUCUCAUCUAACUGAAUCUUGCUGAAGUCUAACACAUGUGACAAGUCGGCAUGAUACCUCCGGAGCAUAGUCACGUUAAAAAUUAGAUGAACUCCUGAUAGACUAGGAGGUAAGGCAAGCUCAUAAGCAACCUUCCCAACUCAUCUCAACACCUCAAAUGGACCUAUAAACCUUGGGCUCAACUUGAACUUCUUCCUGAAUCUCAUAAUCCCCUUCAUCGGCGAGACUUUCAAGAGAACCUUCUCGCCUACCAUAAAUGAUAAAUCAUGCGCAUGAUGAUCUGCGUAACUCUUCUAUAUGGACUAUUCUAUGCGAAGUCGCUCUUAAAUCAAAUUUACCUUUUCCAAGGCAUCCUUCACCAAAUCAGUACCAUAUUACUUAGCCUCGUCGGGCUCAAACCACUCGAUGGGAGAACGAGAUCACCGACCAUAUAAAGCCUCAAAUGGAGCCAUCCGAUGUUGGACUGAUAACUAUUAUUGUAAGCAAACUCAGCCAAAAGUAAGAAUUCAUCCCAAUUCCCUCCAAAGUAAAUCACAUGUGCUAUGAGCAUGCCCUCCUAAAUCUGAACUGUCUGCUCCGACUGCCCAUCAGUCUGUUAAUGAAAUGCGGUGUUGAGAUCUACAUGGGUCCCCAACUCACUCUAUACGGCUCUCCAGAAAUACGAAGUAAACUGAGGGCCUCUAUCUGAUAUGAUGGAAAUAGGCACACCGUGCAACCGAACUAUUUCCUGAAUAUAAAUCUGGGCCAACCUCUCCGAAGUAUACGUAGUCACAACUGGAAUGAAGUGUGCCGACUUGGUCAACUUGUCGAUAAUGACCCAAAUUGCAUCAAACUUCCGCAAGGUCCGCAGUAACCCAAUACGAAGUCCAUAGUAAUGCGCUCCCAUUUCCACUCCAAUAUAAUCAUCUGCUGGGGUAGGCCACCUGGCCUUUGGUGCUCAUACUUGACCUACUGGCAAUUUAGGUACUUAGCAACAUACUCAGAUAUGUCUUUCUUCAUCUGCCAUAACCAAUAAUACUGUCUCAAGUUAUGAUACAUCUUUGUGGCACCUGGACGAUUGGAAUACCGAGAACUAUGUGCCUCCUCUACAAUCCUCUACCUCAAGCCAUCGACAUUAGGAACACAUAGACGACCCAAGAGUCGUAGAACACAAACCUUGCCGAUAGAAACCCCAUUGGCACCACCUUAUAGUAUCGUUUCUCUAAGAACCAUCAAAUGUCGAUCUUCAAAGUAUCAAGCCUUAAUCUAUUCCAAUAGUGAAAACUGGGAAACAACGCAUGCAAGAACUCGGCUGGGCUCUGAAAUGUCCAACCUUACAAGUCUGUUAGUCAAGGACUGAAUGUCCAAAGCUAGUGGCCUCUCCUCUGCUGAAAUGAAUACCAAGCUACCAAUACUCUCUACCUUUCUGCUCAAAGCAUUCACGACCACAUUUUUCUUGCCCGGAUGAUAAAGAAUGGUGAUGUCAUAAUCAUUCAGUAACUCAAUGCAUCUGCGCUACCUCAAAUUGGGAUCCCUUUGCUUGAACAAAUGCUGCAAGCUACGAUGAUCGGUGUCAACCUCAUAGGACACCCUAUAAAGAUAAUGCCUCCAGCUCUUAAGAGCAUGAACAAUAGUGGCUAACUCUAGAUUGUGCACAAGGUAAUUCUUCUCAUGAAUCAUCAGCUGACGUGAAGCAUAUGCAAUAAUACGCCCCUCUUAUAUCAGUACACAACUCAAGCCAAUGUGUGAAACGUUGCAAUACACCAUAUACAUCCCCGAACUGGAAGGCAACAGUAGAACCGAUAUUUUAGUCAAAAUUGCCUUGAGCUUCUGAAAUCUCGCCUCACAAUCAUUGGACCAACGGAACAGAGCACCCUUCUGGGCCAAUCUAGUCAAAGGUGCUGCAAUAGAUGAAAAACAUGUACCCAAGGACUCAUGAGGGAUAUCCAGAAAAUGAGAAAAUAGAGAUGAUACAUAUAAAUAGGUAGACCUUGGAUCAAAUAAUAUCAAAGCAUCCCUACUGCAGAUAGAAAUAAUACCUUUGAUCAUGACAUCUGAGGCCACUGUAUCUAGUCUGGCAGAAAACGCAUAGAACCUAGCUGGAGCACCAACUGGCUAGCCUCCGCCUAACUAAAUAGUAGCUGGCUGACCCCUCUGCUUGGCCUCCACCUCUAGGACGACCCCUACCCACCUGCCUUACACCUUUGGGUGGUCGGACGACAGGUGUUGUAAUCAUGAGUUGAUGACCCUGCUGCACUGCCUUGCCCUAAAGUUUGGGACAAAAUCUCUUCAUGUAACCUAGAUACCCACACUCGUAACAACCUCUUGGCACCAUAAACUGCUACCCUGAAGUCUAACCCCGAUCACCUGAAAUCCACUAAAAGAACACUGGAUAGCUGGUGAGUGGUAUGAACUCUUUGACAUGGCACUGAAAUAGGCGCUGGAAGAACUCGGGUGACCUGAGUACCCACUGGAAGAACCCUGAAUAACUGGUGGGCAGUAUGAACUCUCUAGCAUGACACUGAAAUAGGGUCGCGCUGGAGCACCCUGAGGAGGUGGUGGUACUAGAUAUGUGGACUUGCUAGGCUGACCCCUCCUAAACUGACCUCUACCCCCAGCCGAGGCAUCUCUAAACUCUCCAAAAAAAUGGGACCUCUUGUCCCGCUGCAUCUGCUCUCUACCCCUUUGAUGGUAGCCCUCAAUCCUCUGAGCAAUCUCCACUACUAGCUGAUAAAAAGUCCCAAUCUCAACCUCCUGGGCCAUACUAUCCUGAAUAGCGGAGUGCAACCCCGCACCAAACCUCUGCACUCUCUCUGUGUCAGUAGGAAGUAUCAUGAGUGCAUGGCGAGGAAACUCAGAGAAUCUCGCCUAAUAAUCGGUCACUGUCAUUUGACCCUGUUGGAGCAGCUCAAACUGACACCGCAAAUCUUCCCUAUGAGAGGGUGGGGUAUACAUAUCCAAGAAAAGUUGUGUAAACUGAUCCAACGUCAUGGGAGGAGAAUCUGUUGGUCUGCUAAGAAGAUGAGACUUCUGUGAGCACCUAAUAUUUGCGCUACAUGGAAAUGACCAAGCUGGAGCUGCUCAAACUGACACCGCAACUCUUCCUUCUGGAAGGGUGGGAUAUACAUAUCCAAAAAUAGCUGUGUAAACUGAUCCAAAGUCAUGGGAGGGGAAUCUGCUCGUCGGCCAAAAAGAUGAGACUUCUGUGAGCACCUAAUAUUUACGCUACAUGAUAAUUAAUCCUAAAAAAUUUAAAAAAAAUUAUAAAUAUUUCAAAAUAGUUUUAAUCAAUUUUGUAGAAUUUUAAGAAAUUUUCUCAAGUUUAGUUAAAUUAUUUUGCAUUUCAUUUUUAUGCAUAAGCACUUUAAAUCAUGAAAAUGCCAAAAAUAUUUUAUUCAUGCAUUAAAUUUUAUAUUUUAAUUGCAUGUUAGUUCUAUUUAUAAAUAUAAAAUACCAAAAAUACAUUUGUCAUUGUUAGUUUAAAUUAUUAGAUAAAAAUAGCAUAGGUUACUUCUGCAAAAAUAGGAUUAAUUUGAAUUAAUGGCUAAGUGGCUACAAUUUGAAAACAAUUGAUCAAAAGCUGAAAAAGAUCAAAUUGGGCCAAUUCUAUUAGCCCAAAGCUACAAAAAGAAUUUUGGCAGCCCAAUUACCCAUCUGCCCCAAGCCUGGCCCAAUAACCCAACCCCUCUCAUUAAAACCUCCCCCUUCCAAAAAAAAAGACCUAGACCUAAUUUCAUUCCCUUACCCUAGAGACCUAAUAAGAUAAAAAAAAGGAGGACCUUAAAGCUUUAGGAAAAUUGCGCAUCAACUGCUGCCUUUCUUCUUCUGCUAAACACACUCCAUUAUAACUAAAACUUCAACUCCAAAAGCCAUGAAAAUCAACCACGAAAUCCACAAAAAAUCAGCUCCAAUUCACCCCAAAUCAUCUCCGAAUAGCCUAGAAAAUGCAGCUGAAGUAGCUGCAAAAAUAGUCCAUAAACCAGCCAUGUUUCCACAUCAAAAUACCCUGCAAAAAUCAGUUCAAAACAUAAGCUAAAAAUCCACAAAAUGUGUUCAAAAUCACCUCCAAAAUAACUCCAAAACGAGCUGAAAAAUACUCCAUGAAAUAGCUUCAAAAAUGACCAUUGAAACCCAGCUUCCCACCUCAAAAAGAUCACCUAAAAAAUAAUUAAAUUUUCGAGUCAAAGUCAAGGGUCUUGGUACAAAUAAAGUCGAGGUCAACGUCGAGCUUUUCGAGUCAUGGUUUUGUUCGCUCUUGUUCGCAUUUUCGAUGUUUGUCACAGAGUUCUGUUUGCUAUUUGAACAACUUUUAUUAUUGUACCAAACUUUGGUUUGAAGGCCCUUUAUAUAUACGCAUUAAAGUUUUCACAUAGGUUCUUUCUUUUCCAAUCUCAUUUUAUGGUUGAUUUGCUUUGAAUUGUUAUUUAUACUAUUUGAGCAUUUGGAUGCCUUCACAUUAGUUGAUUCUAUGUUUAUUAGUUACUUUCUUUUGUUAAAUAAUUUUAUUUGAGG